CUCUCCCUCUUUCUUCCGGCCUAACACAUGCAAGUCGAACGAACCUUUCGGGGUUAGUGGCGGACGGGUGAGUAACACGUGGGAACGUGCCUUUAGGUUCGGAAUAACUCAGGGAAACUUGUGCUAAUACCGAAUGUGCCCUUCGGGGGAAAGAUUAAUCGCCUUUAGAGCGGCCCGCGUCUGAUUAGCUAGUUGGUUGAGGUAAUGGCUCACCAAGGCGACGAUCAGUAGCUGGUCUGAGAGGAUGAUCAGCCACAUUGGGACUGAGACACGGCCCAAACUCCUACGGGAGGCAGCAGUGGGGAAUCUUGCGCAAUGGGCGAAAGCCUGACGCAGCCAUGCCGCGUGAAUGAUGAAGGUCUUAGGAUUGUAAAAUUCUUUCACCGGGGACGAUAAUGACGGUACCCGGAGAAGAAGCCCCGGCUAACUUCGUG
This 434-nucleotide ribosomal RNA is filed under the name uncultured bacterium. Its description in RNAcentral is "partial 16S ribosomal RNA". It matches the Rfam family "Bacterial small subunit ribosomal RNA", at positions 36 to 507 of the family's 1533-position model. The record is from RNAcentral.